This 348-nucleotide unclassified non-coding RNA is filed under the name Hevea brasiliensis (rubber tree). Lineage: Eukaryota; Viridiplantae; Streptophyta; Magnoliopsida; Malpighiales; Euphorbiaceae. The record is from RNAcentral.
AGCACUGGUGAGGGAAUGGGUAUUGAUUUCGUGUUCCCUAUGGCAUUUGCAAAAUCUCAAAUUGCUACUGGGCAGAAUCUAUCACUUUCUGGCACUGUGUUCAUAAGCUUCAAUGACUUGACAAAACGCCAUCUUGAAAAGCUUGCGAAAGCCUUUUCAGGACUUGGGUUCUGGAUUAUUUCAACUUCAGGAACAGCUAAUUUUCUUGAGUUGAAAGAUAUCCCUGUGUAUCGAGUGCUGAAGAUGCAUGAUGGGCGGCCACAUGCUGGUGAUAUGCUUGCUAAUGGGCAAAUCCAGUUGAUGGUGAUCACAAGCUCUGGUGAUGCACUUGAUCAAAUUGAUGGCCGG